AAACAAAAGGCUUUUAACCCUUCUUCUUUAACUAACAAGAACCUCAUUCUUUUCUUUAACAUUCCCAAAACCUUUACUAGAUUUUUUUUCUAACUUUUUUAGCUUACUUCCCCUAGAAUUCUUUCCCUUUCCUUAUCAACAAUGAAUUCACCCUUUUCUUUUAAACACAUCCCAACCCAUGAUCUAAGCGCCCACCUAGUCCUAUCCAGUCCGAAAAACGCGAACUAGAACUACAUGAGACACUAUCUCUGUCGUUACGAACCUAACACUUUCUACCAAGCUCAAUCGAAAUAAGACCUCACAAACACUCACAAGUGAUAUAGGGCUUGAAAGAAAGUUUAGGUUUGGGUUUGGGUUAACUGCUAUAAUAAGGAGAGUCAGCUACUUGGAUUAACAAGAGU
This 401-nucleotide small RNA is filed under the name Arabidopsis thaliana (thale cress). RNAcentral's name for it is "ATSL089170". The record is from RNAcentral. Lineage: Eukaryota; Viridiplantae; Streptophyta; Magnoliopsida; Brassicales; Brassicaceae.